Molecule: RNA transcript, 1036 nt
Organism: Otolemur garnettii (small-eared galago)
Lineage: Eukaryota; Metazoa; Chordata; Mammalia; Primates; Galagidae
Gene name: cAMP-regulated phosphoprotein 19 pseudogene
Exons: 1
Source: RefSeq, a predicted model, not a curated record
AAUGGAAGAUAAAGUGACCAGUCCGGAGAAAGCUGAAGAAGCAAAAUUAAAAGCAAGUUAUCCUCAUCUGGGACAAAAGCCUGGAGGUUCAGAUUUCUUAAGGAAACGAUUGCAAGAAAGGCAAAAAUAUUUUGAUUCUGGAGAUUACAACAUGGCAAAAGCAAAAAUGAAGAACAAGCAACUUCCUGCCGCAGCCCCAGAUAAGACGGAGGUCACUGGUGACCACAUUCCCACUCCACAGGACCUUCCUCAACGGAAACCAUCCCUUGUUGCUAGCAAACUGGCUGGCUGAUUAAAAGAGCUGAACUGCACGAAUCCUCUAAUUCCCAUUAUUUCUCCUUAAUAUGUUACUUAUCCUCUUUUUAUUUCCUUUCACUAAGUCAUUUGAGACUGAAAGCUUUGCAGGUAGCAGUAGUGUGUGCUGCUAUUGUAAGGGAAUAUUACACGUGUAGAGUGUUGAUUAGUUUAACAGUGCACUGAUGAAAAGGACAUGUUAGAGCAACAUAAGUAAUCUACUUGAAAAUAAUUGUAUAUAUUACCUAACUACUAGUAUAGGGCUGGUUACAACAAGCAAGUUUAACAGUUCUAAUGUUUUGGCUUUAAUUACUUCAUCUUAAUUAUAGCUUUGUAUGUUACUCUUAUUUAAUAUAACUUCUAUUGUAUUGAUUUCUUCUGUAUUUACCUUUUGGAUUUUGUAAAACAGAAGUUUAAGACCACAAGUUGGAAGUAGGUUACAUAUUUCAAACACAAAUAGAUGGGGCUCUGAAAGAUUUGUAUCUCUGUGCUUAAACUUGAAUGGCCUUAAACCUGUUUCAGCUUUAACAGUAACAUUUUACUUGGGCAAUAUUUGCCCUCUCUGGUGUAACUUACAUGACUCUAGUGCUUACCAGCUCCCCACGAAGCUAGUAUCCUUACUCAGUUCUGUAGUUUCAGAAUACCUUUUGUUGAGGAUGUGAAUGAAGUGUGCAUGUGCAUCGACUGUUGAAUUCACUUUUGUGCCAUUUUUGUAAAUACAAUAGUUUUGCACAACCUCUCA